GGGGCUUUAGCUCAGUUGGUAGAGCGCUGCCUUUGCAAGGCAGAUGUCAGGAGUUCGAAUCUCCUAGGCUCCA
RNAcentral lists this transfer RNA (73 nucleotides) under Streptomyces sp. ISL-21. RNAcentral's name for it is "tRNA-Ala". It matches the Rfam family "tRNA". Rfam says of the family: Transfer RNA (tRNA) molecules are approximately 80 nucleotides in length. Their secondary structure includes four short double-helical elements and three loops (D, anti-codon, and T loops). Further hydrogen bonds mediate the characteristic L-shaped molecular structure. tRNAs have two regions of fundamental functional importance: the anti-codon, which is responsible for specific mRNA codon recognition, and the 3' end, to which the tRNAs corresponding amino acid is attached (by aminoacyl-tRNA synthetases). tRNAs cope with the degeneracy of the genetic code in two manners: having more than one tRNA (with a specific anti-codon) for a particular amino acid; and 'wobble' base-pairing, i.e. permitting non-standard base-pairing at the 3rd anti-codon position. Lineage: Bacteria; Bacillati; Actinomycetota; Actinomycetes; Kitasatosporales; Streptomycetaceae. RNAcentral also lists the same sequence under 2 other names. The record is from RNAcentral.